This 469-nucleotide ribosomal RNA is filed under the name Abiotrophia defectiva. RNAcentral describes it as "bacterial SSU rRNA". It matches the Rfam family "Bacterial small subunit ribosomal RNA", at positions 28 to 474 of the family's 1533-position model. Lineage: Bacteria; Bacillati; Bacillota; Bacilli; Lactobacillales; Aerococcaceae. The record is from RNAcentral.
GACGAACGCUGGCGGCGUGCCUAAUACAUGCAAGUCGAACGAACCGCGACUGAGUGCUUGCACUUGGUCAAGGUGAGUGGCGAACGGGUGAGUAACACGUGGGUAACCUACCUCAUAGUGGGGGAUAACAGUCGGAAACGACUGCUAAUACCGCAUAGGACAUGGGAUCACAUGAUCCAGUGAGGAAAGGUGGCGCAAGCCAUCGCUAAGAGAUGGACCCGCGGUGCAUUAGCUAGUUGGUAGGGUAACGGCCUACCAAGGCGAUGAUGCAUAGCCGACCUGAGAGGGUGAUCGGCCACAUUGGGACUGAGACACGGCCCAAACUCCUACGGGAGGCAGCAGUAGGGAAUCUUCCGCAAUGGACGCAAGUCUGACGGAGCAACGCCGCGUGAGUGAAGAAGGUCUUCGGAUCGUAAAGCUCUGUUGUUAGAGAAGAACAGCGCAUAGAGUAACUGUUAUGCGUGUGACG